RNAcentral lists this ribosomal RNA (473 nucleotides) under uncultured bacterium. Its description in RNAcentral is "bacterial SSU rRNA". It matches the Rfam family "Bacterial small subunit ribosomal RNA", at positions 355 to 825 of the family's 1533-position model. The record is from RNAcentral.
UGGGGAAUAUUGGACAAUGGGCGCAAGCCUGAUGACGCAACGCCGCGUGGGGGAUGAAGGUCUUCGGAUUGUAAACCCCUGUCGAAUGGGACGAAAGACUCGCGAGUUAAUACUUCGCGGGAGUGACGGUACCGUUAAAGGAAGCCACGGCUAACUCUGUGCCAGCAGCCGCGGUAAUACAGAGGUGGCAAGCGUUGUUCGGAAUUACUGGGCGUAAAGGGCGCGUAGGCGGCCUACUAAGUCAGACGUGAAAUCCCCCGGCUUAACCUGGGAACUGCGUCUGAUACUGGAAGGCUUGAGUAUGGGAGAGGGAUGUAGAAUUCCAGGUGUAGCGGUGAAAUGCGUAGAUAUCUGGAGGAAUACCGGUGGCGAAGGCGGCAUCCUGGACCAUUACUGACGCUGAGGCGCGAAAGCUAGGGGAGCAAACGGGAUUAGAUACCCACGUAGUCCCUGAGCGGGCUGGCAAGGCGCAU